This 273-nucleotide ribosomal RNA is filed under the name uncultured bacterium. RNAcentral describes it as "partial 16S ribosomal RNA". It matches the Rfam family "Bacterial small subunit ribosomal RNA", at positions 524 to 796 of the family's 1533-position model. The record is from RNAcentral.
UACGGAGGGUACGAACGUUAAUCGGAAUUACUGGGCGUAAAGCGCGCGUAGGCGGUUUGAUAAGUGGGAUGUGAAAGCCCCGGGCUUAACCUGGGAACUGCAUUCCAAACUGUCAGACUAGAGUAUGGUAGAGGCUGGUAGAAUUUCCUGUGUAGCGGUGAAAUGCGUAGAGAUCUGAAGGAAUACCAGUGGCGAAGGCGGCCUCCUGGCCUAAUAUUGACGCUGAGGUGCGAAAGCGUGGGGAGCAAACAGGAUUAGAUACCCCCGUAGUCC